This 394-nucleotide ribosomal RNA is filed under the name uncultured bacterium. RNAcentral describes it as "partial 16S ribosomal RNA". It matches the Rfam family "Bacterial small subunit ribosomal RNA", at positions 523 to 918 of the family's 1533-position model. The record is from RNAcentral.
CUACGGAGGAUGCAAGCGUUAUCCGGAUUUAUUGGGUUUAAAGGGUGCGUAGGCGGAUGAUUAAGCGUGAGGUGAAAUGCCACUGCUCAACAGUGGAACUGCCUCGCGAACUGGUUGUCUUGAAUGCUCCUGCCGUGGGAGGAAUGUGUGGUGUAGCGGUGAAAUGCAUAGAGAUCACACAGAACACCGAUUGCGAAGGCAUCUCACGAAGGGGUGAUUGACGCUGAGGCACGAAAGCGUGGGGAUCAAACAGGAUUAGAUACCCUGGCAGUCCACGCAGUAAACGAUGAUAACUAACCGCUGGGUCGUAGUGAUUCAGUGGCCAAGCGAAAGCGAUAAGUUAUCCACCUGGGGAGUACGACCGCAAGGUUGAAACUCAAAUGAAUUGGCGGGG